UGGAUUACUUUCAAGUACAAAGGAUUUCAUUGAACCUUAGAAAUGACUUUAGUCUUUGUGUUCAAUAGGUGAAUGCUUGUGUACUUAUCAAUGUGAGGAAAAUGUUUAAUUGCUCUUAUUUACAUUAAAACCAACAGCAUAGGCUCUGCAGAGACCUCAAUUAUUACAGUUUUGGUCUGAUACCUGAAUUGGAAAAC
Dipodomys ordii (Ord's kangaroo rat) is the source of this 197-nucleotide unclassified non-coding RNA. Ensembl annotates it as predicted gene, 27585. The record is from Ensembl. Lineage: Eukaryota; Metazoa; Chordata; Mammalia; Rodentia; Heteromyidae.